Molecule: ribosomal RNA, 582 nt
Filed under: Triticum aestivum (bread wheat)
Lineage: Eukaryota; Viridiplantae; Streptophyta; Magnoliopsida; Poales; Poaceae
Description: partial small subunit ribosomal RNA
Source: RNAcentral
AUGGUAGUGGCUGUGGACCAAUGGCGUCCAUAUCUCCAACACAGUGAGUUCAUCAUACAUAUUAAUCAGAAGAGCCUGGUGCAUUUAGAAGAACAAAGACUCACGACCCCUUGGCAACAAAAAGCAUUUACCAAACUCCUCGGUCUUCGAUACACCAUCAAGUACAAGAAAGCGACAGAAAAUGGGGAUGCGGAUGCUCUCUCCCGUGCCACCCACACUGAGCAAUUGCAAGCAAUAUCAUCUUAUCAGCCUAGUUGGAUGGAAGACAUCAUUGCCAGCAACAACUCAAACCCACAAGCCCAGAAACUGCUGGAACAAUUAGCCAUUAGAGCAGAUCCAAAAGGACGCUUCACUCUAGAACAACGCAUCUUACGAUUCAGAGGACGCAUCUGGCUAGGUGGCAGCACAUCAAUGCAACAAAAGGUAAUCAAGGCGUUUCAUGAUACCCCUCUUGGAGGACACUCGGGCUUUCCAGUAACAUGGCGCCGAGUAUGCCGCCUCUUUGCUUGGGCCAAAAUUAAAACACACAUUCAGCACUAUGUGCAUUGUUGCCCUAGAUGCCAGCAGGCCAAGCCAGACUGA